This 860-nucleotide unclassified non-coding RNA is filed under the name Ixodes scapularis (black-legged tick). RNAcentral's name for it is "uncharacterized LOC115320242, transcript variant X2". The record is from RNAcentral. Lineage: Eukaryota; Metazoa; Arthropoda; Arachnida; Ixodida; Ixodidae.
ACUGGAUAUGUCGCAGGAGAGGUGAAUGCAAGGCGAAAAUGACAACAGAUCCAGAUGCCAGUCGAAUCAUUGCCCUUCAAGCUGCCACACGCACGCGGGAGACCCAACGGAACUCAACCUGCUCAGGACGCGUCAUCGGAUAAAAGAAAAAGCAGGUUUGUGCCGAAACGUUUCUGCAUUUAGUAUAAAAAAAUUAGGUUUCUUAACAAUUUUUUUUUCGUCACAGUGGGGAGCCACGAAACUCCAGACCAAAUUCUUUUAGACGCUGCAUCUGCCGUCAGUGACGACACCGCUUCUCAGAUGCCUGCCCCGUCGUCCCUGCGGCGAGUCUUACGGAAGCAAAGGCAGCUCGCGACAUUCAGCUACAGUAUUCCGUCCACCAGAUGAGACAUCAGAGUCCCCGUGGAGUUCAAGGUGACAAGCAAAGGCGAGUCCUUUCUCCUGCAUGAUAGUGGAGAUGGCGACUCUGCAAGAAUCCUCAUCUUCGCAACCGAGAUGAACUUGCACCACUUGGCUCAGUCUACCGUGUUGCUAGUAGACGGGACCUUCAAGGUGACGCCACCUCUAUUCUGCCAGCUUUAUACAGUGCACGCUGUACUUCAUAGAGUGGUAAUGCCAAUGACAUACGGUCUGCUACCUAGCAAGUCAGAAGACACUUACAGAAGUCGGUGUACCGGAGGGUCUGCGCUUCCGGCCUGCAGAGUACAUACAACACACAAGAGGACUUUGCAGUGCUGAUGAGGAUGUUCCCAUCGCUGGCAUUUCUCCCGACCGCUGAAAUCCCAGAAGCCUUUCAAGAUUUAUUGGAGGUAAUCCCGGUGGAGGCAGUUCCAGUGGCGAACUAUUUUGAGGACACCUAC